GGAGAGGUCACAUAGCGGUCUAGUGUGCGUCCCUGGAAAGGACGUGUGCCGAAAGGCACCGCGAGUUCGAAUCUCGCCCUCUCCG
RNAcentral lists this transfer RNA (85 nucleotides) under bacterium. RNAcentral describes it as "tRNA-Ser". It matches the Rfam family "tRNA". Rfam says of the family: Transfer RNA (tRNA) molecules are approximately 80 nucleotides in length. Their secondary structure includes four short double-helical elements and three loops (D, anti-codon, and T loops). The record is from RNAcentral.